RNAcentral lists this long non-coding RNA (995 nucleotides) under Coturnix japonica (Japanese quail). RNAcentral's name for it is "lncRNA (ENSCJPG00005015620.1)". Lineage: Eukaryota; Metazoa; Chordata; Aves; Galliformes; Phasianidae. The record is from RNAcentral.
CAAAAUAGUGGUGGCCAGCAGGGAGAGGGAGGUGAUUGUUUCCCUCUCUUCUGCCCUCAUGAUUUCCCAUCAUGUGGAACUGUGUGGGCUGCAAGUUUCCUUCCAGCCCAAAUCAUUCUGUAAUUCUCUGAUUUUGUGAUACCUUGAUUCUAUGAUUCUGUGAUCUGCUCUGGAGUACUGUCUAAAUGAGCAGCAUCCUUAGCUGCUGACCACCACCCAACCAUAGUGUCACAACAUGCUUGCUACUCACAUGCGCUGUGUUACUGCUUGUGUGAGUGCUACCCUGCCUUUCCCAAGGAAAAGCAAAGCCCAGGCUGUAGAUCAAUGCUAACCCAGCUCGUGCUGACAGAGUUCAGCUAAUAAACACUUAUGCAGCUCUGGCAGCAGGUCUGGCAGACGGAAGAUGAUGAACAGCCAGGAGAGAGAUGAAGCUCCUCAUGUCCACAGCCAGCUCAGCUGGAGCCUGAUGGACAAGGGCGAAGUCCUGGCUUCACCAAUGUCAACGCUUGUGUUGACUAAAGGAGAACUUGAAUCCUUCUUAGAAGAGGAGAUGGGAUUUAUGGGAAAUUCUGUGAGAAUCUUUGAAAACUGAAACCAUAAACAACCAUCAGGACUUCUAACAUUUAAUCAGAGCAUCAUGAAUGUUAAGAACAUCAUGAUCAUUUACAAAGACUUUGGUGACUUGUGAUAUAAAUGUAUCUGAAUCCUGUAAGUAUUGCAAAAAUGUGCCAAUAAUAAUUGACUCAUUCAUCUUGCUUGGAACGAGGGAAAAACUGAGGCUGGAAUUCUCUCCAUACUCUUAAUGCAGCCCUUAAUGUUUGGCUCAAUCCAACGCAGAAUGGGAGGGUGAUGCUGUGAUGCUUACCCAAGGUCCAGCACUGUAGGAGCUUUCGUCAUCCUCCACAUACCUGUAUUUUCUGAGAUAUUCUGCCUGCUAUUUUAGCUCUGCUGAAGUCCUGUGAGCUGUGUGGAAAACUACUUCAAAGAUGGUACCU